GCCACAUGAUGCUACAUAGAUUGCAUUAGCACUCUGUGCAAAGAUGACCAACUAUCUAUCACCCAAGACUGAUGGCU
Small nucleolar RNA from Electrophorus electricus (electric eel), 77 nucleotides. Its record names the gene SNORD83. It matches the Rfam family "Small nucleolar RNA SNORD83". Rfam says of the family: U83 (SNORD83) and U84 (SNORD84) are members of the C/D class of snoRNA which contain the C (UGAUGA) and D (CUGA) box motifs. They act as guanine methylation guides but lack complementarity to ribosomal RNA. Lineage: Eukaryota; Metazoa; Chordata; Actinopteri; Gymnotiformes; Gymnotidae. The record is from Ensembl.